Molecule: transfer RNA, 73 nt
Filed under: Metamycoplasma hyosynoviae
Lineage: Bacteria; Bacillati; Mycoplasmatota; Mycoplasmoidales; Metamycoplasmataceae
Description: Mycoplasma hyosynoviae tRNA
Rfam family: tRNA
About the family: Transfer RNA (tRNA) molecules are approximately 80 nucleotides in length. Their secondary structure includes four short double-helical elements and three loops (D, anti-codon, and T loops).
Source: Rfam by way of RNAcentral
GCUGGUUUAGCUCAGUAGGUAGAGCAAUUGAUUCGUAAUCAAUGGGUCGGGAGUUCGAUUCUUCUAACCAGCA